GCUUCGGUGGUGUAGUGGUAGCACGCGUCCUCGGUUAGGAUGAAAAGCAGGUUCAACUCCUGUCUGAGGUU
Non-coding RNA from Parelaphostrongylus tenuis, 71 nucleotides. NCBI's taxonomy places the organism in Eukaryota, Metazoa, Nematoda, Chromadorea, Rhabditida, Metastrongylidae. The record is from the annotation of a GenBank genome assembly.